Molecule: ribosomal RNA, 669 nt
Filed under: uncultured bacterium
Lineage: Bacteria
Description: bacterial SSU rRNA
Rfam family: Bacterial small subunit ribosomal RNA
Source: RNAcentral
GCAAGUCGCGGGGCAGCAUGAAUUUAGCUUGCUAAAUUUGAUGGCGACCGGCGCACGGGUGAGUAACGCGUAUCCAACCUUCCCCUGUCCACGGGAUAGCCCGUCGAAAGGCGGAUUAAUACCGUAUGAGGUCACACGAUGGCAUCAGACUGUGACGAAAGGUUUGGCGGACAGGGAUGGGGAUGCGUCCGAUUAGCUUGUUGGCGGGGUAACGGCCCACCAAGGCUACGAUCAGUAGGGGUUCUGAGAGGAAGGUCCCCCACAUUGGAACUGAGACACGGUCCAAACUCCUACGGGAGGCAGCAGUGAGGAAUAUUGGUCAAUGGGCGAGAGCCUGAACCAGCCAAGUAGCGUGCAGGAUGACGGCCCUAUGGGUUGUAAACUGCUUUUAUGCGGGGAUAAACUGGCUCACGUGUGGGUCAUUGCAGGUACCGCAUGAAUAAGGACCGGCUAAUUCCGUGCCAGCAGCCGCGGUAAUACGGAAGGUUCGGGCGUUAUCCGGAUUUAUUGGGUUUAAAGGGAGCGUAGGCCGUUGUUUAAGCGUGUUGUGAAAUGUCCCGGCUCAACCGUGGCACUGCAGCGCGAACUGGACGACUUGAGUGCGCGGAACGUAUGCGGAAUUUGUGGUGUAGCGGUGAAAUGCUUAGAUAUCACGAAGAACUCCGAUUG